This 505-nucleotide ribosomal RNA is filed under the name uncultured bacterium. Its description in RNAcentral is "partial 16S ribosomal RNA". It matches the Rfam family "Bacterial small subunit ribosomal RNA", at positions 28 to 507 of the family's 1533-position model. The record is from RNAcentral.
GACGAACGCUGGCGGCGUGCUUAACACAUGCAAGUCGAACGGUGAAGCGCUUGCCUUUUUGGUGGGUGUGGAUGAGUGGCGAACGGGUGAGUAACACGUGAGUAACCUGCCCUCUUCUUCUGGAUAACCUCAUGAAAGUGGGGCUAAUACGGGGUAUUCCGGGUCUGUCGCAUGGCGGGUUUGGGAAAGAUUGCGCCUUUGGGUGUUUUCGGUGGGGGAUGGGCUCGCGGCCUAUCAGCUUGUUGGGGGGGUGAUGGCCUACCAAGGCGGUGACGGGUAGCAGGCAUGGGAGGGUGGACGGCCACACUGGGACGGCGACACGGCCCAGACUCCGGCGGGAGGCAGCAGUGGGGAAUAUUGCACAGUGGGCGGAAGCCUGAUGCAGCGACGCCGCGUGGGGGAUGGAGGCCUGCGGGUUGUGAACCUCUUUCGCCAGUGAAGCAGGCCUGCCUCGUUUGUGGGUGGGUUGACGGUAGCUGGAUAAGAAGCGCCGGCUAACUACGUG